AACACACUCAUCCAGCCUGACAGGUCGAGGCGACAUUUGAUUGCUAGUAAAAAAAAGCCCCACAGAUCUCGCAUCGGCUCUUACUCACUUCUUUCCCAUAACCACGCAACCAACCCACUGCAGGUCGUAAGUGUUCAUAGACACUUUGAGGGUGUGUCCCAUCCCAAAGUGGCUGCAUUAAAGUCUGUGAAGAAGAGAUCCAGAAGAAGUGCACCCAAGAGAAAGAAGAACGCAAGGAAUAACACAUGCUCAUGAGAGGCUCUUUGAAGCACUUAAGCUGUACUUCCUGUUAACGUUCUAGCUCAUUUACUUAAAGAGUGCCAUGAGAUCACACAGACUCUGUGCAGAUAAUGUGCUCACAAUUAAUGACAAUAAUUGGACAGUCCCACAUUUAAUUAUCUAACAUAAACAAAAAUGACUUAAAUAUAAACAAAUAUAUACAGCAUACUACGCUUUGAAAUAUGCAUACUACUCAUUUAGAAGAAAGAUUAUAGUUGAAUUACCUUUUGCUAAUAUGAUUCUGAACAAUGUUGUACUAAGUUAUAUAAGUCUCUAUACACUGCUUAAACAAAUAUAUCUUUUGUAGAUUUAUGAUUAAAUAAACUUUAAUUUGAAUGGUCUGAA
This is a long non-coding RNA of Sinocyclocheilus anshuiensis, 624 nucleotides long. RefSeq lists it as uncharacterized. Lineage: Eukaryota; Metazoa; Chordata; Actinopteri; Cypriniformes; Cyprinidae. The record is from RefSeq and is a predicted model, not a curated record. The transcript is spliced from 4 exons.